UACGAAGGGGGCUAGCGUUGCUCGGAAUCACUGGGCGUAAAGGGUGCGUAGGCGGGUUUUUAAGUCAGGGGUGAAAUCCUGGAGCUCAACUCCAGAACUGCCUUUGAUACUGAAUAUCUUGAGUCCGGGAGAGGUGAGUGGAACUGCGAGUGUAGAGGUGAAAUUCGUAGAUAUUCGCAAGAACACCAGUGGCGAAGGCGGCUCACUGGCCCGGUACUGACGCUGAGGCACGAAAGCGUGGGGAGCAAACAGG
RNAcentral lists this ribosomal RNA (253 nucleotides) under uncultured bacterium. RNAcentral's name for it is "partial 16S ribosomal RNA". It matches the Rfam family "Bacterial small subunit ribosomal RNA", at positions 524 to 776 of the family's 1533-position model. The record is from RNAcentral.